Molecule: ribosomal RNA, 249 nt
Filed under: Triticum aestivum (bread wheat)
Lineage: Eukaryota; Viridiplantae; Streptophyta; Magnoliopsida; Poales; Poaceae
Description: partial small subunit ribosomal RNA
Source: RNAcentral
AUGAACCCGCAAGGCCUUGACAGACUCAAUGGUGCUCAUGUCGUUCUCAUCCCGAAAGUGGACGGAGCCGCCACGAUGUCAGACUUCCGUCCGAUCAGUCUGCUCCAUAGUGUUGCCAUGCUUUUUCUCAAGGUCCUAGCAACACGGCAUGCUAAGCGCCUCCCUGAACAUGUAUCUCCUGGGCAGAGUGCCUUCAUCAAAGGAUGCAGCAUCCAGGACAAGUUCCUUUUUGUCCAAGACUUGGCAAGA